RNAcentral lists this ribosomal RNA (497 nucleotides) under uncultured bacterium. Its description in RNAcentral is "partial 16S ribosomal RNA". It matches the Rfam family "Bacterial small subunit ribosomal RNA", at positions 28 to 507 of the family's 1533-position model. The record is from RNAcentral.
GAUGGACGCUGGCGGCGUGCCUAAUACAUGCAAGUCGAGCGAACGGACGAGAAGCUUGCUUUUCCGAUGUUAGCGGCGGACGGGUGAGUAACACGUGGAUAACCUACCUAUAAGACUGGGAUAACUUCGGGAAACCGGAGCUAAUACCGGAUAAUAUUUUGAACCGCAUGGUUCAAAAGUGAAAGACGGUCUUGCUGUCACUUAUAGAUGGAUCCGCGCUGCAUUAGCUAGUUGGUAAGGUAACGGCUUACCAAGGCAACGAUGGAUAGCCGACCUGAGAGGGUGAUCGGCCACACUGGAACUGAGACACGGUCCAGACUCCUACGGGAGGCAGCAGUAGGGAAUCUUCCGCAAUGGGCGAAAGCCUGACGGAGCAACGCCGCGUGAGUGAUGAAGGUCUUCGGAUCGUAAAACUCUGUUAUUAGGGAAGAACAUAUGUGUAAGUAACUGUGCACAUCUUGACGGUACCUAAUCAGAAAGACACGGCUAACUACGUG